RNAcentral lists this ribosomal RNA (534 nucleotides) under uncultured Bacteroidota bacterium. RNAcentral's name for it is "uncultured Bacteroidetes bacterium partial 16S ribosomal RNA". The record is from RNAcentral. Lineage: Bacteria; Pseudomonadati; Bacteroidota.
CCAGGGGGAUACUUAACGCUUUCGCUUGGCCGCUAACAGUAUAUCGCUAACAGCGAGUUAUCAUCGUUUACGGCAUGGACUACCAGGGUAUCUAAUCCUGUUCGCUCCCCAUGCUUUCGUGCCUCAGCGUCAGUUACGGCUUAGUAAGCUGCCUACGCUAUCGGUGUUCUUUAUGGUAUCUAUGCAUUUCACCGCUACACCAUAAAUUCCGCCUACUUCAACCGUACUCAAGCUCUCCAGUAUCAAUGGCAGUUCCGCAGUUAAGCUGCGGGCUUUCACCACUGACUUAAAGAGCCGCCUACGCACCCUUUAAACCCAAUAAAUCCGGACAACGCUCGCACCCUCCGUAUUACCGCGGCUGCUGGCACGGAGUUAGCCGGUGCUUAUUCCUACAGUACCGUCAAUUGCUUACGCAUAAGCUUUUUCUUCCUGUAGAAAAGUAGUUUACAACCCAGAAGGCCGUCAUCCUACACGCGGCAUGGCUGGUUCAGGCUCUCGCCCAUUGACCAAUAUUCCCUACUGCUGCCUCCCGUA